CAAGUCGAACGGACUUGAAGGGCUUGCUCUUCAAGUUAGUGGCGAACGGGUGAGUAAUGCAUCGGAACGUACCGUGUGAUGGGGGAUAACUAACCGAAAGGUUGGCUAAUACCGCAUACGCCCUGAGGGGGAAAGAGGGGGAUCGCAAGACCUCUUGUCAUACGAGCGGCCGAUGUCAGAUUAGCUAGUUGGUGAGGUAAAGGCUCACCAAGGCGACGAUCUGUAGCGGGUCUGAGAGGACGACCCGCCACACUGGGACUGAGACACGGCCCAGACUCCUACGGGAGGCAGCAGUGGGGAAUCUUGGACAAUGGGCGCAAGCCUGAUCCAGCAAUGCCGCGUGGGUGAAGAAGGCCUUCGGGUUGUAAAGCCCUUUUGUCAGGGAGCAAAUCCUUGGUGUUAAUACCGCCUGGGGAUGAGAGUACCUGAAGAAUAAGGACCGGCUAACUACGUGCCAGCAGCCGCGGU
Molecule: ribosomal RNA, 468 nt
Filed under: uncultured bacterium
Lineage: Bacteria
Description: bacterial SSU rRNA
Rfam family: Bacterial small subunit ribosomal RNA
Source: RNAcentral